CACACAAUGCUUCACAAUACACACCCCCCCCAUAUGCAUCCCUUAAACACAGAGAAACAUACACUGCAUCUCUUUUACACACACUACGUGCUUUUACAUACACAGAAACACACAUUGUAUCCCUUGCACAUACAAACAGAUUCACACAAUGCAUCCUAUCCCUUACACAAAAACACAAGCAUCCAUUACACACCCUGCCCCCUGCAUUACCUACACAAACUGGU
This is a non-coding RNA of Pelobates cultripes (western spadefoot toad), 224 nucleotides long. Lineage: Eukaryota; Metazoa; Chordata; Amphibia; Anura; Pelobatidae. The record is from the annotation of a GenBank genome assembly.